CAAGGCUAUAGCCUUGGAUAUUUUUCAAAUUUUUGGAAACCUAACCUUGAUCUUGUGUAUAAGUUAAUUAAUUUUGUUAUUAUUUUUAGAGUCACUGCAGUGACCCGUCUCUUACCGACAGAUUGAAGCAAGGUAUGGAUCAUAUUCUUAGUGUUGCUAAGGAGAUUGCUGAAGUUGAAAUAUCAUUUGGUUUACAAGCAUCAGUUGAAGAUUAUCAAAGAGAAUUCAAAUUUGGUUUAACUGAAGUAGUCUACCAAUGGGCCAAGGGAGAGGAAUUUAUUAAUGUGAUACAACUAACUGAUGUAUCUGAAGGUGUUAUAGUGCAAGUGUGUUCAGAGAUUGGAUGAAUUGUGUCGUGAUAUUGGUAAAGCUUGUAAACUGGUGGGAGAG
This is a long non-coding RNA of Amphimedon queenslandica, 390 nucleotides long. RefSeq lists it as uncharacterized. The transcript is spliced from 4 exons. Lineage: Eukaryota; Metazoa; Porifera; Demospongiae; Haplosclerida; Niphatidae. The record is from RefSeq and is a predicted model, not a curated record.